This is a long non-coding RNA of Zingiber officinale, 336 nucleotides long. RefSeq lists it as uncharacterized. The record is from RefSeq and is a predicted model, not a curated record. Lineage: Eukaryota; Viridiplantae; Streptophyta; Magnoliopsida; Zingiberales; Zingiberaceae. The transcript has 4 exons.
GAAGGAUUGGAGAGGUGAUGUGGUGAUUCCGGCCACCACAGAUUGAUUGGAUUAGUUCUUCCACCGGAGUUGUGAUCAUCUCCGGUGAUAGAAGAAGUAGAGGACCUUGAUUUAUACGAGCAGCGUGACUUGGGGUGGUUCUGUUGAUUGCGGGAUAUAUCGAGGCAGUAGGUAGAUGAUAUGGAGAUGCUUGGAGUAUGCUGCUGGCCGGUCCCCUUUCCCACGUCAUAUCCGAGGACCUUUGUCGGUUUUGUUUCUCUUUUCUUACACUUCGUAUUUGUUGGAUUUAGAGUUGUGAGAACGAAUUGUGUUUUUGAUACGUGUAUUGUGGACUUG